This 253-nucleotide ribosomal RNA is filed under the name uncultured bacterium. Its description in RNAcentral is "partial 16S ribosomal RNA". It matches the Rfam family "Bacterial small subunit ribosomal RNA", at positions 524 to 776 of the family's 1533-position model. The record is from RNAcentral.
UACGUAGGGGGCAAGCGUUGUCCGGAAUCAUUGGGCGUAAAGCGCGUGUAGGCGGGUCGGGAAGUCCGCUCUGAAAGCCCGGGGCUCAACCCCGGGAGGCGGGUGGAUACUGUCGACCUCGAGUCCGGAAGAGGCGAGUGGAAUUCCUGGUGUAGCGGUGAAAUGCGCAGAUAUCAGGAGGAACACCAAUGGCGAAGGCAGCUCGCUGGGACGGUACUGACGCUGAGGCGCGAAAGCCAAGGGAGCAAACGGG